Molecule: long non-coding RNA, 745 nt
Filed under: Pongo abelii (Sumatran orangutan)
Lineage: Eukaryota; Metazoa; Chordata; Mammalia; Primates; Hominidae
Description: lincRNA
Source: RNAcentral
GGGAGAUAGAAUGUCAUCGGAAUGCCCAUAGACAUCUAAAGCAGUGCAGUUAUUUGGAGGAAAUUAAUGUUUCUGAAAUUGUUGGAUCAUAAAGUUCAAGGGGCAAAAUAUUAGAACUUGAAGCUGGAACAAUAAGCAAGGGUCAAAUGAUGGAGAUCCAGUUAGACCAUGUUGAAGACCUCAGAUUGUGUCCUUUCAGUGAUGGGAACAUUGAAACAUUUCAUCUCUCUGUUGCCCUUUCUUUGCAAAUGGGACAGACUCAGGGCAUUCAGAAUAGAAUGUUCUGCUGAGUUGUUGUGAAAACUACAAUGUAAGGAGAAACAUGAAAAAUGCUGCAUAUUCCAUGAAACAAAGAAGCCAAGAUUGAAAUCAAAUCGCCAACAAACCCCCAAUCAAUUGUGGCAUCCUUAGCUUGGCCGUUGAACAGCUAAGUAGAGGGAAUCACUCCAGGGGUGUUUUUUUUUUCUUGAGAUUUUGAAAGAGUAGAGAUGGACAUCAGAAAUAUUUGACCCAGUCUUUUUUCAAAGUGCUUUGCUGUGCUGAAACUUUUGUGUGGAUGAAAUUCACCUGAGAUGCUUGUUUAACUGCACCUUCUCGAGCCCUACCUCUAGACAGGCUGAUUUAGCAGAUUUUGGAGUGGGAUCCAGAGUUCUGCUUUUUAAAGAAGAUCCUCAAGAGGCUGGGAGCGGUGGCUCAUGCCUGUAAUCCCAGCACUUUGGGAGGCCGAGGCGGGCGGAUCAUGAGG